CGUUACAUUAGGAUUCACGUCGAUGCACCUGAUCCUGUCUGAUCUCGGAAGCUAAGCAGGGUCAGGCCUGGUUAGUACUUGGAUGGGAGACCACCUGGGAAUACUGGGUGCUGUAGGAG
Molecule: ribosomal RNA, 119 nt
Filed under: Pteropus alecto (black flying fox)
Lineage: Eukaryota; Metazoa; Chordata; Mammalia; Chiroptera; Pteropodidae
Source: RNAcentral